GGAAAGAGCCAGCAUUGUAACCGUGCUCGGUGACUUCUCUGGCUUUAUAGGGAACAGAUGUGAGGAUAGCAAGGGGCGCACACGUGAAAUGCCUGGCAGGUACCCCUUUGUGGCUCUACUUACUUCUUGCCAUUCCUCUGCCCUCCAAGUGUAGAGGGGACACCGUGGGCCUUGGCAGUCGCGUUCCGACUCCGGUCUGGUGUAUGGGUUGCACUCGGUCUCUCUGGCUAUUUUGUGUGUUCCGAUCUGACAGCCCACAUGCCUCUGCUGUACGCCUCGGCCACAGGACACAGAGCACUAAGAAGACAGAGAACCACUAAGAAAGACAACAAGGGCUGUUAAGGAAAUCAUGACAUUCCAUAGUUUGUGAAGCCCAUCCUGACCACAAAGGUGUUGAACUGUGAAGAAGACCUGCAUCUCAGAACUGAUGAAUGACUUGAUUGCAUGAAUUCAUGAUUGAUUAAUGCAUUGCGCCAGUUUGGAUAAUAUCUCAAGGCUUAAUAGGGAAGGAAGGUGGCAUUGAAAAAAAAAAAAUGUCCACAGCAUUACAGCAGCAAUCCUGUGUGGCAUUUUUGGCUCACUCAAGACUGUGGGUAAAUCCUGAGAAUUGGAGCCAAAAAUAAAGCUCAUGAACCUGAAAUUACCAUGAAAUUCUGAUUUUAAGAAGUCCUACUAUGAAAUAGUGAUAUAUUUCUUCAACAAAAUGCCUUGUGAUUCACUGACUGGGAUAAAGAUUCACAGUCUGGUGAGACAAGUUUGAGAUCUCAUAUUUUCAGCUCAUCCUUGAAAACCUUUCUUCGAUUUGACUGACCUUGAUGGCUCCCUGGAAUCUCACCUACAUUUUAUGGGAAAUUCAACUCUCCAGAGAGAAGAGCUUUCAGAUAG
RNAcentral lists this non-coding RNA (885 nucleotides) under Pan troglodytes (chimpanzee). The record is from RNAcentral. Lineage: Eukaryota; Metazoa; Chordata; Mammalia; Primates; Hominidae.